Molecule: transfer RNA, 74 nt
Filed under: Cyclonatronum proteinivorum
Lineage: Bacteria; Pseudomonadati; Balneolota; Balneolia; Balneolales; Cyclonatronaceae
Rfam family: tRNA
About the family: Transfer RNA (tRNA) molecules are approximately 80 nucleotides in length. Their secondary structure includes four short double-helical elements and three loops (D, anti-codon, and T loops).
Source: Rfam by way of RNAcentral
GCGCCCGUAGCUCAGCUGGAUAGAGCGUCAGAUUCCGGUUCUGAAGGCCAGGGGUUCGAAUCCCUUCGGGCGUA